AGUCGAACGGCAAGCACGGACCGGUCUGGUGGCGAGUGGCGAACGGGUGAGUAAUCGGAACGUGCCCUAGUGGCGGGGAUAUACGCGAAAGCGUAGCUAAUACCACAUACGCCCUUCGGGGAAAGCGGGGGACGCUUCGGGCCUCGCACUAUUAGAGCGGCCGAUAUCGGAUUAGCUAGUUGGUGGGAGUAACGGCUCGCAAGGCGACGAUCCGUAGCUGGUUUGAGAGGACGACCAGCCGCACUGGGACUGAGACACGGCCCAGACUCCUACGGGAGGCAGCAGUGGGGAAUUUUGGACAAUGGGGAAGCCCUGAUCCAGCCAUCCCGCGUGUGCGAUGAAGGCCUUCGGGUUGUAAAAGCACGGCAGGAAAGAAACGGCACGGGAUAAUACCCCGUGCAACUGACAGUACCUGCAGAAUAAGCACCGGCUAACUACGUGCCAGCAGCCGCGGUAAUACGUAGGGUGCAAGCGUUAAUCAAAUUGCUGGGCGUAAGCGUGCAGAGCGGUUCGGAAGAAGAUGUGAAAUCCCAGAGCUUAACUUUGGAACUGCAUUUUUAACUACCGAGCUAGAGUGUGUCAGAGGGAGGUGGAAUUCC
RNAcentral lists this unclassified non-coding RNA (599 nucleotides) under uncultured Bordetella sp. Its description in RNAcentral is "partial 16S-23S ribosomal RNA intergenic spacer". It matches the Rfam family "Bacterial small subunit ribosomal RNA", at positions 60 to 670 of the family's 1533-position model. The record is from RNAcentral. Lineage: Bacteria; Pseudomonadati; Pseudomonadota; Betaproteobacteria; Burkholderiales; Alcaligenaceae.